RNAcentral lists this ribosomal RNA (253 nucleotides) under uncultured bacterium. RNAcentral's name for it is "partial 16S ribosomal RNA". It matches the Rfam family "Bacterial small subunit ribosomal RNA", at positions 524 to 776 of the family's 1533-position model. The record is from RNAcentral.
UACGUAGGGUGCGAGCGUUAAUCGGAAUUACUGGGCGUAAAGCGUGCGCAGGCGGUUUUGUAAGCCAGAUGUGAAAUCCCCGGGCUCAACCUGGGAAUGGCAUUUGGGACUGCAAGGCUGGAGUACGGCAGGGGAGACUGGAAUUCCUGGUGUAGCAGUGAAAUGCGUAGAUAUCAGGAGGAAUACCGAUGGCGAAGGCAGGUCUCUGGGCUGAUACUGACGCUCAUGCACGAAAGCGUGGGGAGCGAACAGG